This 301-nucleotide ribosomal RNA is filed under the name uncultured bacterium. RNAcentral's name for it is "partial 16S ribosomal RNA". It matches the Rfam family "Bacterial small subunit ribosomal RNA", at positions 509 to 809 of the family's 1533-position model. The record is from RNAcentral.
CAGCAGCCACGGGAAUACGAAGGGGGCUAGCGUUGUUCGGAUUUACUGGGCGUAAAGGGCGCGUAGGCGGGCGAUUAAGUCAGAGGUGAAAUCCCAAGGCUCAACCUUGGAACUGCCUUUGAUACUGGUUGUCUUGAGUCCGGGAGAGGUGAGUGGAACUGCGAGUGUAGAGGUGAAAUUCGUAGAUAUUCGCAAGAACACCAGUGGCGAAGGCGGCUCACUGGCCCGGAACUGACGCUGAGGCGAGAAAGCGUGGGGAGCAAACAGGAUUAGAUACCCCGGUAGUCCCUGUCUCUUAUAA